UAAGGGCGUAUGGGGGAUGUCUUGGCGUCAGAAGGCGAUGAAAGGCGUGGAAGUCUGCGAAAAGCCUGGGUGAGUUGACAAACAAACGUUGACCCCGGGAUUCCUGAGCUAACCCGGUGAACUGAAACAUCUAAGUAACCGGAGGAAAAGAAAGAAAAAUCGAUUCCCUGAGUAGCGGCGAGCGAAAUGGGAAGAUUGCCCAAACCGCGGUGGUUUCCGCCGUGGGGUUGUAGGGCCUUUCACAUGGGAGUUACCAAGUGAGUCGUUAGUUGAACCGUUUGGAAAGGCGGGCCACAGAGGGUGAUAGCCCCGUAAACGAAAAUGAUCUCACCUCCCGAAGGGUACCUGAGUAGGUCGGGUCACGUGGAACCCUGACUGAAUCUACGGGGACCAUCCCGUAAGGCUAAAUACUCUCUGACGACCGAUAGUGAACCAGUAGGGCGACUGAAUGAUGAGAAGAACCCCGUCGAGGGGAGGAUAGUGAACCUGAAACCAUACGCUUACAAGCGGUCGGAGCACUAUGGCCUUCGGGCAAUGUGUGACGGCGUGCCUUUUGCAUAAUGAUCCGGCGAGUUACCGUCUGCGGCAGGUUAAGGCCUUACGGGCUGUAGCCACAGGGAAACCGAGUCUUAAUAGGGCGUUACGUCGUAGGUGGUAGACGCGAAACCUGGUGAUCUACCCAUGAGCAGGUUGAAGCGCGGGUUAUACUGCGUGGAGGACCGAACCCACUUGGGUUGAAAACCGAGGGGAUGACUUGUGGGGAGGAGUGAAAGUCUAAUCAAACCAGGAGAUAGCUCGUUCUCUCCGAAAUAUCUUUAGGGAUAGCCUCGAGCCACUCUGCAUUGGGGGUAGAGAUACUGAAUUGGAUGGGGGCCCUUCCCGGGGUACCUCACUGAACCAAACUCCGAAUACCAAUGUAAUUAUCUCGGGAGUCAGUCCGCGGGGGAUAAGCUCCGCGGUCGAGAGGGAAACAACCCAGACCAUCGGCUAAGGUCCCGAAGUCGUACUCAGUCACUAAGGAAGUUGAGUUGCCGUGACAGCUAGGAUGUUGGCUUAGAAGCAGCCACCAUUUAAAAAGUGCGUAACAGCUUACUAGUCGAGCAAUUCUGCGCCGAUAAUGAACGGGAGUAAGUGCGACACCGAAGCCGUGGGUUCAGCUUACGCUGAGCGGUAGGAGAGCGCUGUACAUCAGAUACAAGCCGUACCGAAAGGAGCGGUGUCGGGGUGUACAGGUGAUUAUGCCGGAAUGAGUAACGAUAAAGCAGGUGAGAAUCCUGCUCGCCGAAAGCCUAAGGUUUCCUGGGGAAGGCAAUUCCGCCCAGGGUUAGCCGGUUCCUUAGUCGAGGCCGAAAGGCGUAGACGAUGGAUAGCAGGUCAACAUUCCUGCGCCACAAUGUGGAGUGAUGGAGGGACGGCGUCCGGAGGGUACCAUGGAUGUGUAGAAUUACGCCAUGGUGCGGCACUGAGAUGGUGGGAUAGGAAAAUCCGCCCGCAUAAUUCAAGGUGUUGAACUAACAGCAUUUAAGUUCUGGUAGUAUCGGAAGGACGUCCAAGAAAAGCUUCUAAACUUUGAAGCAUUGUGACCGUACUAAAACUGACACAGGUAGGCGAGACGAGAAGUCUAAGGCGCUCGGGAGAACGGUGGUUAAGGAACUCUGCAAAAUGGCCCCGUAAGUUCGCGAUAAGGGGUGCCUCUGGCGGUUCACGCUGCUGGAGGCCACAGUAAAUCGGCUCCUGCGACUGUUUAUCAAAAACACAGGUCUCUGCUAACACGUAAGUGGAUGUAUAGAGACUGACGCCUGCCCGGUGCCGGUAGGUUAAGGAAGACGGUUAUCCCCUCGGGGAGAAGCUGGCGACCGAAGCCCCGGUAAACGGCGGCCGUAACUAUGACGG
This 1893-nucleotide ribosomal RNA is filed under the name Chloroparvula japonica. Its description in RNAcentral is "partial Bacterial large subunit ribosomal RNA". It matches the Rfam family "Bacterial large subunit ribosomal RNA", at positions 12 to 1948 of the family's 2925-position model. Lineage: Eukaryota; Viridiplantae; Chlorophyta; Chloropicophyceae; Chloropicales; Chloropicaceae. The record is from RNAcentral.